AACGCGAAGAACCUUACCUCGGCUUGACAUGCACGUGGUACUGAUGGGAAACCAGAGGGACUCGCAAGAGAGCGUGCACAGAUGCUGCAUGGCUGUCGUCAGCUCGUGCCGUGAGGUGUUGGGUUAAGUCCCGCAACGAGCGCAACCCUUGUCCUUAGUUGAAAUCUCUAGGGAGACCGCCGGUCUAAACCGGAGGAAGGUGGGGAUGACGUCAAGUCAGCACGGCUCUUACGUCGAGGGCUACACACACGCUACAAUGGCCGGUACAACGGGCUGCAAAGGGGCGACCUGGAGCUAAUCCCACCAAAGCCGGUCUCAGUUCGGAUCGCAGGCUGCAACUCGCCUGCGUGAAGUCGGAGUUGCUAGUAACUGCUGGUCAGCACACAGCAGUGAAUACGUUCCCGGGCCUUGUACACACCGUAGUAC
RNAcentral lists this ribosomal RNA (426 nucleotides) under uncultured bacterium. RNAcentral describes it as "bacterial SSU rRNA". It matches the Rfam family "Bacterial small subunit ribosomal RNA", at positions 958 to 1398 of the family's 1533-position model. The record is from RNAcentral.